Molecule: ribosomal RNA, 478 nt
Filed under: uncultured bacterium
Lineage: Bacteria
Description: partial 16S ribosomal RNA
Rfam family: Bacterial small subunit ribosomal RNA
Source: RNAcentral
GAUGAACGCUGGCGGCGUGCCUAACACAUGCAAGUCGAACGGAGUCCUGCCUUUAAGACCUUCGGGUCAAAGAGGGGAAGACGGAGUGGCGGACGGGUGAGUAACACGUGGGCAACCUGGCUCAUAGAGGGGGAUAACAGAGAGAAAUUUCUGCUAAUACCGCAUAAGCACACACUGCCGCAUGGCAGAGGGUGAAAAGAGAAUCGCCAUGGGAUGGACCCGCGUCUGAUUAGCCAGUUGGCAGGGUAAGAGCCUACCAAAGCGACGAUCAGUAGCCGAUCUGAGAGGAUGAACGGCCACACUGGGACUGAGACACGGCCCAGACUCCUACGGGAGGCAGCAGUGGGGGAUAUUGCACAAUGGGGGGAACCCUGAUGCAGCGACGCCGCGUGAGUGAAGAAGUAUUUCGGUAUGUAAAGCUCUAUCAGCAGGGAAGAUAAUGACAGUACCUGAAUAAGAAGCCCCGGCUAACUCCGUG